RNAcentral lists this small RNA (550 nucleotides) under Pongo abelii (Sumatran orangutan). Its description in RNAcentral is "retained intron". The record is from RNAcentral. Lineage: Eukaryota; Metazoa; Chordata; Mammalia; Primates; Hominidae.
GCAGAGCUGAGCCCGAGGGGAAUCCAGAAGGGACACGCUGAACAGGAACAGAAAUGAAUAAAAGUCGCUGGCAGAGUAGAAGACAUGGGAGAAGAAGCCACCAGCAGAACCCUUGGUUCAGACUCCGUGAUUCUGAAGACAGGUCUGACUCCCGGGCAGCACAGCCCGCUCACGAUUCCGGCCACGGUGAUGACGAGUCUCCGUCGACCUCGUCUGGCACAGCUGGGACCUCCUCUGUGCCAGAGCUACCUGGAUUUUACUUUGACCCUGAAAAGAAACGCUACUUCCGCUUGCUCCCUGGACAUAACAACUGCAACCCCCUGACGAAAGAGAGCAUCCGGCAGAAGGAGAUGGAGAGCAAGAGACUGCGGCUGCUCCAGGAAGAGGACAGACAGAAAAAGGUGGGCUCCUCACCCCUUCGCCCCCUGUCCUCUCCACUCCUGCCAGCACCUGUCCAUCCACUGUUGAAGAGGGUGCCAAUUAGAUGCCCCUGCGACACUUAGCAGAGGCACUUCACGGGGUGUGGCCCCAGCUUUUCCCUGACAGGAAG